Molecule: ribosomal RNA, 738 nt
Filed under: Theba solimae
Lineage: Eukaryota; Metazoa; Mollusca; Gastropoda; Stylommatophora; Helicidae
Description: partial 16S ribosomal RNA
Source: RNAcentral
UAUAUCUUUAGGGUGAAUAUAAUUACGUAGUAUAGUAAUUCUUAAAUAUAUUUUUAGGGGUGAUAGGCUUAUCAAAUUUGUGGAUAACUUGAUACACAAUAAAAUUAUUAAGUAAUAAGUUAUAUUUUGAAAGUUAAGCUUCAGAAUUAUAAUUAAAUUUGAUUAAUGAUUACAUUAUAGUUUAAUAGUUAAUUUAUAAAUAACAUAAUUAUUCUUGUCGUAAUUUUAUUUUAUAUAUUGUGUUAUAUUUAUUAAGGAUUGUAUUAAUAAUGUUAAUAUAAGUAAUAUUAUUAAGUAAGUAAAAUGAACUCGGCAAUAUAUUUUUCAACUGUUUAUCAAAAACAUAACUGUAUGUAUAUUAUAUACAGCUUUUCCUGCUCAAUGAUGUUAAAUAGCCGCAGUACCCUGACUGUGCAAAGGUAGCAUAAUCAUUUGGCUCAUAAUUGGAGUCUAGUAUGAACGGAUCUUUGGAAAAUAACUUUAUUAUGCUUAUUUAUUUGAAAUUAGUUUGUAAGUGAAAAUACUUACAUUUAUAUAAAGGACGAGAAGACCCUAGAAAUUUCUUCCAUUUUGUUGGGGCGACAGAAUUACAUAAAACUAAUUUGAUUUAACGUGACGUUAUUAAAGUUCGACUAAAUUACUCUAGGGAUAACAGCAUAAUUUUAACAGUUUGUGACCUCGAUGUUGGACUAGGAUAUUAAUGGUUUAGAAGACUUUUAAGACUGCUCUGUUCGAGCU